GGCCCCAUCGUCUAGCGGCCUAGGAUACUGGCCUCUCACGCCAGAGACCGGGGUUCGAGUCCCCGUGGGGCCGCCA
RNAcentral lists this transfer RNA (76 nucleotides) under Thermodesulfobacteriota bacterium. Its description in RNAcentral is "tRNA-Glu". It matches the Rfam family "tRNA". From Rfam's summary of the family: Transfer RNA (tRNA) molecules are approximately 80 nucleotides in length. Their secondary structure includes four short double-helical elements and three loops (D, anti-codon, and T loops). Further hydrogen bonds mediate the characteristic L-shaped molecular structure. tRNAs have two regions of fundamental functional importance: the anti-codon, which is responsible for specific mRNA codon recognition, and the 3' end, to which the tRNAs corresponding amino acid is attached (by aminoacyl-tRNA synthetases). tRNAs cope with the degeneracy of the genetic code in two manners: having more than one tRNA (with a specific anti-codon) for a particular amino acid; and 'wobble' base-pairing, i.e. permitting non-standard base-pairing at the 3rd anti-codon position. Lineage: Bacteria; Pseudomonadati; Thermodesulfobacteriota. The record is from RNAcentral.